GGAGGAAGCCCCGGCUAACUACGUGCCAGCAGCCGCGGGAAUACGUAGGGGGCUAGCGUUAUCCGGAUUUACUGGGCGUAAAGGGUGCGUAGGCGGUCUUUCAAGUCAGGAGUGAAAGGCUACGGCUCAACCGUAGUAAGCUCUUGAAACUGGGAGACUGGAGUGCAGGAGAGGAGAGUGGAAUUCCUAGUGUAGCGGUGAAAUGCGUAGAUAUUAGGAGGAACACCAGUUGCGAAGGCGGCUCUCUGGACUGUAACUGACGCUGAGGCACGAAAGCGUGGGGAGCAAACAGGAUUAGAUACCCUGGUAGUCCACGCUGUAAACGAUGAGUACUAGGUGUCGGGGGUUACCCCC
Molecule: ribosomal RNA, 354 nt
Filed under: Clostridioides difficile
Lineage: Bacteria; Bacillati; Bacillota; Clostridia; Peptostreptococcales; Peptostreptococcaceae
Description: bacterial SSU rRNA
Rfam family: Bacterial small subunit ribosomal RNA
Source: RNAcentral